AUGGGCUCCGUGGCGGUGCCGCCGUGCCACGUCGUGGCCAUGCCGUUCCCUGGCCGCGGUCACGUCAACGCCAUGCUGAACCUGUGCCGCCUCCUCGCCGCCCGUGACGGCGUCUCGGCCACCGUCGUCGUCACCGAGGAGUGGCUCGGCCUGCUCGGCGGCCCCGCGCUCGCGCCCGGCGUACGCCUCGAGGCCGUCCCCAACGUCAUCCCCUCCGAGCACGGCCGCGCCGCCGACUGGGUCGGGUUCGUGGACGCCGUGUACACCAAAAUGGAGGCGCCGUUCGAGCGCCUCCUCGACCGUCUCGGGGCCGCGCCCGCGGCCAUUGUGACCGACACGUUCGUGCCGGGGGCGGUGCGCGCCGGCAACCGGAGGGGCGUCCCUGUGUGCAUCCUCUCGGCGCUCGGCGCCACCAUGUUCUCCGUGCAGUACCGCUUCGAUCGGUUGCCCACGGCUGCCGGCGGUAGCGCUGACAUGGCCGAUGUCACUGAUCCUUGUCUGAUGGAAAACUACAUUCCUGGACUCAAGUCGAUCCGGCUUGCCGAUCUUGAGCCCACGCACUCCGACAAGAUUAGGCUGGACAAAAUUCUUGAAGCAUACCCUUACGUGAGGAAAGCGCAAUGUGUCAUCUUCACCUCCUUCUACGAGCUCGAGAGCAACGCCAUUGACUUUCUAAGGCAAGAGCUCCCUUGCCCUGUGUUUGCCGUUGGUCCUUGCAUCCCCUUCAUGGCACUCCAAGAAAACCAGGCCAAUCCAGAGGAAGAAAGCUACAUGGCUUGGCUGGACACACAGCCUGCGAGCUCAGUGCUCUACGUCUCACUCGGCAGCUUCCUCUCAGUGUCGGCCACCCAGCUCGACGAGAUCGCCAUUGGCCUUGCCCAGAGCAAGGUCAGGUUCCUCUGGGUGCUCCGCGACAAGUGCUCCCGAGUGCAGGAUUUGAUCCGUGGAAGCGACGGCGUGGUCGUUCCGUGGUGUGACCAGCUCAAAAUCCUGUGCCAUCCAUCCAUUGGUGGGUUCUUCACCCACUGCGGCAUGAACUCGACGCUGGAGGCGCUGUACGCCGGCGUGCCGAUGCUGACCCUGCCGAUAGCCUUCGACCAGCCGAUCAACAGCCGGCUGAUCGUCGAUGAGUGGAAGGUUGGGUACAGCCUCAAGGAGAAGGCCCGGGCCGACGGCGUCAUUGGUAGAGGGGAAAUCGCUGGAGCCGUGAAGAGGCUGGUGAACUGUGGUGAUGGCGAGGGCACGAGGAGGAGAGCUUCUGUGCUGAAGGAGGCUUCUCGCGCCGCCGUUGAAGUGGGUGGUUCCUCUGACAGAGAUAUGGUGUCUUUCAUCAAUUACAUUUCACAUUUCAAGGACUGA
RNAcentral lists this ribosomal RNA (1359 nucleotides) under Triticum aestivum (bread wheat). Its description in RNAcentral is "partial small subunit ribosomal RNA". Lineage: Eukaryota; Viridiplantae; Streptophyta; Magnoliopsida; Poales; Poaceae. The record is from RNAcentral.